UAUACUCUAACCUAAUAUAUUUUCUCAAAUAAAAAGGCUUUCGAAGAUGUUAUCCAAAUACUAUUAUUGGUGCCGUAAGAAAGACUUAGAGAGAUUUUCGAUUUUUAAAACUAUUUAAUCAAAAUAAUUUAAAUGUUGCAAUAUUUAGAAAAUAGAUCCCAAAAUUGCUCAUUAAAUGGAAGUGCACAACGUCAUAAUUUUGUGAGCCAGCUGCUUUCGCUCUGACCCUUGGCACGGAACCACAUUUGUGCGAGCACUUCAUUAAUCCUACAACAAAUUAAUGUGUUUGUCACAAAGGAUUUAAAACACAAUCAAUCAGAGAGCGCAACAGCCCUUUUUGAACCCCAAAAAAUAUAUUUCAUAAUUUAGUUGUCCCAACUUGCAGCGAGAAAAGGAAAAGGGAAUGUAGUAGACAAGAAGAGGUUCUGGAUUUGCUUGGGUUAAUCUCAUUUCUGUUGUUUGUUUUCUUUUUGCUCUGGUGCUGAUUUCAUGGAUCACAUUAUAUUUUAUGCGAAUUUUUAUCCGCAUGAAAAUGAAAUAACAACGAACGACGAACACAAAAAAAAAUUGGUGAACGCGCUCUACCGACAUUGAGUAACAAUUUCAUUUGCA
Drosophila nasuta is the source of this 612-nucleotide long non-coding RNA. RefSeq lists it as uncharacterized. NCBI's taxonomy places the organism in Eukaryota, Metazoa, Arthropoda, Insecta, Diptera, Drosophilidae. The record is from RefSeq and is a predicted model, not a curated record. The transcript is spliced from 3 exons.